UAGGAAGAAGUGAAUAGAAGAAAAGAGGGUGUUGCAAAUCAAAAGCACAUAGGGAUAUCAUCUUACACCAGUCAGAAUGGCUAUUCUUAAAAUGUCAAACAACAGAUAUUGGAUUGCCACAUCAUCAGGACCACACCUUCAUCAGGAAUGAAUAUUCCUACUACAAUUAAAGAAGAAACAAAAUUAAUUUGCUGGUGAAAAACGUAAAAAGAGAAAUUUUCUUUGGUUUUGUUUAAUUUCUUUAUUGAGGGUCACCACUAAAAAAAAUGCUCACUGGUCAUUCUUUUGAAUACUGUCUGAGAGAAAGAUGUAAGAUGGUUGAUUAUUUCAAAUGACAGAAGAUAAAGAUGGGAUAUCAUCAUGGCAUGAACAAAAACAAGAUUUGUAGCUGGAGGUAUUUUAUAGUCUAACAUGAUCACCAAUCAUUCUAUAAACCUGUUGGAUGAGUUUAUUAGACAGAGAGAGAGAUUGAUUGAUUCUGAAUAGAAAAUUUCACUUUAGAAAAAAAUAUUUUGACUAUAUAAUAAUGUAUGUAAAAAUUCUCUUUGAUAAGAAACGAGUGAACUGGAUUCAAUUUUCCUCACAGCCUGUGUAAUACACCAUCACUUGCUUCCUCCUACAUGCCAUUGAUUAGCCCCAGGGAGCAGUGCAGCAUUGCCUGCCCAUUUUUUACAUAACCCCUGAAUAUAAAUGCCAGAUGUUGCUGAAGGAAACAGGAUCUGCUUUGUGAAAGAAGUGGCAAGCAAUGGAUCCCAAAUAUCAGCGUGUGGAGCUAAAUGAUGGUCACUUCAUGCCCGUAU
RNAcentral lists this small RNA (800 nucleotides) under Pan troglodytes (chimpanzee). RNAcentral describes it as "retained intron". The record is from RNAcentral. Lineage: Eukaryota; Metazoa; Chordata; Mammalia; Primates; Hominidae.